Small nucleolar RNA from Bos grunniens (domestic yak), 93 nucleotides. Its record names the gene SNORD116. It matches the Rfam family "Small nucleolar RNA SNORD116". From Rfam's summary of the family: HBII-85 is a member of the C/D class of snoRNAs, which contain the C (UGAUGA) and D (CUGA) box motifs. HBII-85 is encoded in a tandemly repeated array with another C/D snoRNA, HBII-52, in the Prader-Willi syndrome (PWS) region of chromosome 15. NCBI's taxonomy places the organism in Eukaryota, Metazoa, Chordata, Mammalia, Artiodactyla, Bovidae. The record is from Ensembl.
GGAUCGAUGAUGACACCCUCACAUGCAUUCCUUGGAAAAUCUGAACAAAAUGAGUGAGAACUCACUACCGCCUCCUCAUCGAAACUGAGGUCC